CACUCCAGAGGGCUCCAACGUGCUUCAAACGGUAUAAUCCCUUGGCCUGUCGGGUAACGUCCCGAUAAACCACCGAUACACAGGAUCAAAUAAGGUUACCUCACACGAAGGUGAGUCCAGAGAUACAAUCACCAUUAUAUUUUACAUCACAGGGAAUCACUUUACAAGAGUUUCCAACAAUAGAGCAAGGUUUCAAAUUUAGAGAAAACAAUACAAACUGAUAAAGUUAGGGUUUUUAGCAGCGGAAAUCAUACGUGAUGACCUACAGCACGUCGUCAAGACGGAUGUCAUGCUAAGCCCAGGCACGACAUCACUCGAUAUCACCAGUGCUGGCCGAGGACGGAUCCCAUUCCACGGACCAUUCAUCUGGAAGAGCAUAGGGCCAAGGCAAGGGAAGAGUAGGGUCUUCACAGAUAUCACCUGAAAAACAUACAACUAGCAAGGCUGAGUAUACUAAUACUCAGCAAGGCUUACCCGGAAUUGGGUAUACUUUAGCCCAUAACUAGACUUAUGAAGGCUUGUAAAAGUUCUGGGUUUAGUUUCAGCUGAAAAAGCAACUAAGAGUAGAUCCUUAUUUUCAACUUUUAGCUUUCAAGUUCUAUGUGAUUAACCAUUCUAGAUAAGCACUUAUAACUAAGCAAGCAAGGUAGAGCUCUUUAUCUCAUCCAUCAGUAUUGCUUAUCAUAUAGUUGCUCUUCUUACUCUGUGUGAUAAAGGGGAUAAGUAGUCUCAAUCAUCGUGAGAGGCGGACGAUUCUGAAUCGAAUUUAACCUUGCAAGGUAAACCUAACUCACACGCUUGGAACAUCCAAUAUUUGUUCCGAAGCAACCGUUUGCCUUUCAUUCCGACUCGUGGACAGGUCCACCACAAGCGACUGCAGGAACAUACGCACAUCACUCGUGCAGGACAUACGUCUGUAGCGCGACUACAAAACCCGUAUUCCUGGUUGCCCUUGCAACACGUAUUUCCUCAGUCGAACGUAAGUAACCAGAAGAAGCAAUCGAGUGGUGGGAGGUAUGUCCACUCCUCGGGCCGAUUGGCUACUAGGCUUACCGCUUACCCAUAACUCACGGCAUGUGGUUAGUACUUUCAAACGCUUAACCCCGAUCGGCACACACCGCGACCUUAUCAGAUUCAACAACACAGACGGGGUAUCACCUCAACCAUGAUACCGCACAAAACUCCCGUCCGGCAUCCUUAUAGUGAUAACAGAGAUGUAAGCAUUACAACUCCUAUAUCGCGCGAGUGACAGGAAAUCACCCGACUUCUUCCGGCCCUAAUAGCAUAGCAGCUAGUCGGACUCAAGUACUAGUAUCCAUCACAUUGGUUCCUAGGAGAAUGCAACUAGGGUUUCAAGCAAUUCCUAAGAACUUAAUGCAUAGAAUACGUAAAUAGAUAUAGAUUGCAGUAUAAUAAAAAUAGUAGGUUAUGUCCGGGGCUUGCCUUUACUGGUGAGUCUGAAGUUAGGAAUGUUAAUAUCUUCCGAACUUUGGUUCGGGGCUUCAGAUAAUCCUUUGGUGACGUUCCUUUGGUCUUCGGGAACAUCCUCCGUAGACUCCGGGGAGAUCUCGUAGGUACUGUCUGCGGAAGUAGUCGUAUCUACAUGCAAUGCAACAUUCCAUUCAUAGUGUGCACGUAAAACUACCUUACUUCACAAUUCAAUUGCAAUCCAGCAUUCAUACAACAUACUAUUCACAUAUUAACCAAAAAGAUCUGAACUAAACCUAGAUAGAGCUUUAGGGGGACAACUAACUAGAAUCGGCUACUCGUUGAAGAUUACAACAGAGCCGAUUGGAAACAACGAGGGUUUGGCUGAUUGAUGAGUGCGUCGGUUUCCUAGGGGAUCGAUGAAAUCAUCGAUUACCUUGGCAGAAGGAUGACUCCUAAAGUAGUUGUCUUACUGAGAUGUGCUUAGGUGUUAUCUAGGUGACUAAGUGUGGUUGUAUCGACUCGAUUACGUCAGCACAACUAUUGAGUGACGUACAGCCGAUGGGGUAUGGUUAAGGGUAUAGAACCGAUAGAUAUGCAGCCGAUUUCUCAGUUGAUAAAUCGACUGAUAGAAGUGUAUAGAUAAGGGUGGGAAAACUAAGGAUCGAUCGGCUAUAACCGAUAUGGAAAAGUAACUAAAAUCGGCUUGGGUCGGCCGAUGGCAAGAACGCUAAGAUUGUGGGUGCAUCUUCGAUGCAUCGACUACGUGCAGUCGAUGUAGAACAGAACAAAAGAACUGUAUCGGCAGUAGCCGAUACUAGAAAGGUAACAAUCGUAUCAGCUAACCAGCCGAUGGUAGAAGUAUCGACUGACAGCUGUUACAUAGGAACAUCAUAAACUCAAGGAAACGAAUACUUAGCGGCUGAACCAAAAGCUGAUGCUGAGGCAUAACCGUAGAGAUGUUUUGGCUAAGCAGCAGACCUACACAAACUAACAGGGAUCCUUAUACGACAAGGAACUUAAAGAAACGGCAAUCAAGACGAGGACAAUGUCUUGAUGGUAGGGAUAUGAGCUCUAGGGUGAUAGGAUUAACUAACUAUCACACUUCUCCACUUAAAGCAUACACCCUAUAAUUUAUCUUCUAGCUAUAACACAAACAUACAAUAUAAGGCAUAAUAAAACAUUCAUUCUCUAACAUUUGACCUAAACCACACAUUAAAGAUUUUCACUCAAGAUCACAAUAUAAAACUUAUAGGUUUUGACUUAGGGUUUCAAACGAAACUGAUUUUACAUUUUUAUGAACUUCUUAUGAAAAUCUAUGAAAUGUAGAAGUUCAUCGAUUUGAAAUACAGAAAGCUUUGGAAAUUUUACAAGGAACAUCCGAGAAUUUUCUAAAACAUAGCAAUCAAAUCCCUGGUCCGGGAAAACAGAUAACAGGAUGUUAACGACGAUAUCCCGGCAAAGGAAUCGCCGGCAUUAAGAAGAUUCAGAGAAUCAGAGCAAACCUUGGGAUAGCCUUGGUUAUGAAGGAGAACACGCGGAAAGUGAUUUCCCGCGGUGAAUAGGAUUGGCAACGAUAAGAUGAGCUCGAUGAUGACGAGAUCCUGAGGAUGACGAAGAAAUUUGUCGGGGAUGGUUGCCGUGGGUGGAAGAUAACCGAAGGAAUAGUCUCCGUGGUGACUCGUGGUCUUGCUCAGUGAUCGACGAGGAAAAGGAAUUGCUGGGUGUCGUGGACUCCUGGGACGAGAUGACAGAGCCGGAUUGGUUCGCUAUGCCAAAUCCUCCGCGAACCUCAAGGUUUCCUUGCUCACGGCUAAGCCUCCAUUUCUCACACGCGUGUGCCGCUGAGACACGGCCGGCACACUCGCGUAACUUCCUGCAGGACCGCCGCGCUUGAUCUCACCUCCGAUACGCCGCUUCUGCUCUGCUCUGCUCCCGCACCAACGGCGUCUUGCAUCCUUGACGUGUCAUCCAACAACAGAACCCUCGCGUCCUUCAGCACCGUGCGUAUCGGCAUUUCGUCAAACACCUAGGUUGCAUCUUCGAUACGGCCAAACCGCAACUCCUCCGGCGCGCGCGCGUCUGCGCGCUUCAGCUCCUGCGUCGCCUGCGCACUCAUGCGCUUGCGCUACUCCGCCGCCGACUAGACGUCGUCCAAUCCCUGGCACCACCUGCUUCUUUGGGCACCCAAGGAUCUGUUUGAGCCGUUCCCGAGCUGAAACCAUCACCGCAGCACCUUUCCCCUUUCCUCCUUGUGCGCAGUUAUAAUGCCGCUUGCCGGCCUACGCCGUCCACGAGCCUGCGCUCCAGUGCCCGCUUGCUCCUAGCGCCUGCGUAGCAUUGCCUGGAUCCGCUCUGCUCCUCCUGCACCGUGUGCUUGCGCCGUGCCAGCUCUGCUCCUGCGCUCACCCGCUCACACGCACCUCCCGAGCCCCGCGCACCCGCUCGCCCACAUCCAGCGCGCCUCCGCUCGGGCCGCCCCGCGCCAACGCCGCACCACCCGCACGCGCCUGCUCCUGGGCCCACGCCGGGCCGCGCCGCGCGUCCGCCCACGAGCCGGCCGAGCGCCUGCCGCCAUCCGCUCGCUCGGGCGCCGCUCCGUCCGCUGCCGCGUGCCUCCGCUUGGGCCACCUGCCUGCGCCGCUUGGGCGCUUGCGCGCUCCGCGGCCGCCUG
RNAcentral lists this long non-coding RNA (4102 nucleotides) under Panicum hallii. RNAcentral describes it as "long non-coding RNA (PHAL_LNC000972)". The record is from RNAcentral. Lineage: Eukaryota; Viridiplantae; Streptophyta; Magnoliopsida; Poales; Poaceae.